RNAcentral lists this long non-coding RNA (204 nucleotides) under Trifolium pratense (red clover). RNAcentral describes it as "long non-coding RNA (TPRA_LNC009987)". Lineage: Eukaryota; Viridiplantae; Streptophyta; Magnoliopsida; Fabales; Fabaceae. The record is from RNAcentral.
GCUUUCACUUAUCACAUCAUGGACUACAUUUCGUCUUCAUGAAUCAAUCAAAGAUAAUGCAUGUAUGAUGUAGUUCAAAGUCACGAAAACUUACCUAUUGGAGCAAGGUCCAAUGCCCCUUCAAAUGAUGUUUCAAGAUGAGAAAAUGAUACCUUUAGCUUCCUUGAGUCCCCAGGAAUGUAAUGGUAUAGUUACUUUUCCUUU